GCCAGCGUGGCAUAGCGGUUUGAGCGUUGGACUACAGCUCUGGAAACCAGGGUUCGAAUCCUGGGUCAGCCA
RNAcentral lists this transfer RNA (72 nucleotides) under Phrynosoma platyrhinos (Desert horned lizard). Its description in RNAcentral is "tRNA-OTHER". Lineage: Eukaryota; Metazoa; Chordata; Lepidosauria; Squamata; Phrynosomatidae. The record is from RNAcentral.